GGGGGCUUAGUUAAAUGGCAUAAUACUUCUCUCCAAAAGAAGUGUCGUGGGUUCGAUUCCCUCAGCCCCUG
This 71-nucleotide transfer RNA is filed under the name bacterium. RNAcentral's name for it is "tRNA-Trp". It matches the Rfam family "tRNA". Rfam says of the family: Transfer RNA (tRNA) molecules are approximately 80 nucleotides in length. Their secondary structure includes four short double-helical elements and three loops (D, anti-codon, and T loops). The record is from RNAcentral.